GGGUUGUGAGGUUAAGCGAAUAAGCGUACACGGUGGAUGCCUAGGCAAUCAGAGGCGAUGAAGGACGUGCUAAUCUGCGAAAAGCGUCGGUAAGGUGAUAUGAACCGUUAUACCCGACGAUAUCCGAAUGGGGAAACCCAGUAUCCAAUGGAUACUAUCAUUAACUGAAUCCAUAGGUUAAUGAGGCGAACCGGGAGAACUGAAACAUCUCAGUACCCCGAGGAAAAGAAAUCAACCGAGAUUCCCCUAGUAGCGGCGAGCGAACGGGGAGCAGCCCAGAGUCUUAAUCAAUAGCAGUGUCAGGAGAACGGUCUGGAAAGUCCGGCAGUAAAGGGUGAUAGCCCCGUAUCUGAAGAUGCUGUUAUUGUGAACUCGACGAGUAGGGCGGGACACGUGUUAUCCUGUCUGAAUAUGGGGGGACCAUCCUCCAAGGCUAAAUACUCCUGAUUGACCGAUAGUGAACCAGUACCGUGAGGGAAAGGCGAAAAGAACCCCGGCGAGGGGAGUGAAAAAGAACCUGAAACCGUGUACGUACAAGCAGUAGGAGCCUCUUUAUGGGGUGACUGCGUACCUUUUGUAUAAUGGGUCAGCGACUUAUAUUCUGUAGCGAGGUUAACCGUAUAGGGGAGCCGUAGGGAAACCGAGUCUUAACUGGGCGAAUGAGUUGCAGGGUAUAGACCCGAAACCCGGUGAUCUAUCCAUGGGCAGGUUGAAGGUUGGGUAACACUAACUGGAGGACCGAACCGACUAAUGUUGAAAAAUUAGCGGAUGACUUGUGGAUAGGGGUGAAAGGCCAAUCAAACCGGGAGAUAGCUGGUUCUCCCCGAAAGCUAUUUAGGUAGCGCCUCGUGAACUCAUCUUCGGGGGUAGAGCACUGUUUCGACUAGGGGGUCAUCCCGACUUACCAACUCGAUGCAAACUGCGAAUACCGAAGAAUGUUAUCACGGGAGACACACGGCGGGUGCUAACGUCCGUCGUGAAGAGGGAAACAACCCAGACCGCCAGCUAAGGUCCCAAAGUCAUGGUUAAGUGGGAAACGAAGUGGGAAGGCUCAGACAGCCAGGAUGUUGGCUUAGAAGCAGCCAUCAUUUAAAGAAAGCGUAAUAGCUCACUGGUCGAGUCGGCCCGCGCGGAAGAUGUAACGGGGCUAAACCAUGCACCGAAGCUGCGGCAGCGACACAAAGUGUUGUUGGGUAGGGGAGCGUUCUGUAAGCCUGCGAAGGUGUACUGUGAGGUAUGCUGGAGGUAUCAGAAGUGCGAAUGCUGACAUAAGUAACGAUAAUGCGGGUGAAAAACCCGCACGCCGGAAGACCAAGGGUUCCUGUCCAACGUUAAUCGGGGCAGGGUGAGUCGACCCCUAAGGCGAGGCUGAAAAGCGUAGUCGAUGGGAAACGGGUUAAUAUUCCCGUACUGGUGGUAACUGCGAUGGGGGAACGGAGAAGGCUAGGUUGUCCGGGCGACGGUCGUCCCGGUUCAAGCAGGUAGGCAGAGUGAUUAGGCAAAUCCGGUCACUUAAUGCUGAGAUGUGAUGACGAACCACCAAGGUGGUGAAGCAAUUGAUGCCCCGCUUCCAGGAAAAGCCUCUAAGCUUCAGGUUACCAACAAUCGUACCCCAAACCGACACAGGUGGUCAGGUAGAGAAUACUCAGGCGCUUGAGAGAACUCGGGUGAAGGAACUAGGCAAAAUGGUGCCGUAACUUCGGGAGAAGGCACGCUGGCGGUAGGUAAAGUCCCUCGCGGACGGCGCUGAAGCCAGUCGAAGAUACCAGCUGGCUGCAACUGUUUAUUAAAAACACAGCACUGUGCAAACACGAAAGUGGACGUAUACGGUGUGACGCCUGCCCGGUGCUGGAAGGUUAAUUGAUGGGGUUAGCCGUAAGGCGAAGCUCCUGAUCGAAGCCCCAGUAAACGGCGGCCGUAACUAUAACGGUCCUAAGGUAGCGAAAUUCCUUGUCGGGUAAGUUCCGACCUGCACGAAUGGCGUAAUGAUGGCCAGGCUGUCUCCACCCGAGACUCAGUGAAAUUGAACUCGCUGUGAAGAUGCAGUGUACCCGCGGCAAGACGGAAAGACCCCGUGAACCUUUACUAUAGCUUGACACUGAACAUUGAGCCUUGAUGUGUAGGAUAGGUGGGAGGCUUUGAAGUGUGGACGCCAGUCUGCAUGGAGCCAACCUUGAAAUACCACCCUUUAACGUUUGAUGUUCUAACCUAGGCCCAUAAACUGGGUCGGGGACCGUGUCUGGUGGGUAGUUUGACUGGGGCGGUCUCCUCCUAAAGAGUAACGGAGGAGCACGAAGGUUGGCUAAGCAUGGUCGGACAUCAUGCGGUUAGUGCAAAGGCAUAAGCCAGCUUGACUGCGAGAGUGACGGCUCGAGCAGGUACGAAAGUAGGUCUUAGUGAUCCGGUGGUUCUGAAUGGAAGGGCCAUCGCUCAACGGAUAAAAGGUACUCCGGGGAUAACAGGCUGAUACCGCCCAAGAGUUCAUAUCGACGGCGGUGUUUGGCACCUCGAUGUCGGCUCAUCACAUCCUGGGGCUGAAGUAGGUCCCAAGGGUAUGGCUGUUCGCCAUUUAAAGUGGUACGCGAGCUGGGUUUAGAACGUCGUGAGACAGUUCGGUCCCUAUCUGCCGUGGGCGUUGGAAGAUUGAGAGGGGUUGCUCCUAGUACGAGAGGACCGGAGUGAACGCACCACUGGUGUUCGGGUUGUCAUGCCAAUGGCAUUGCCCGGUAGCUAAGUGCGGAAGAGAUAACCGCUGAAAGCAUCUAAGCGGGAAACUUGCCUCGAGAUGAGUCUUCCCUGUCGCUUUAAGCGACCUAAAGGAACGUUUAAGACUAAGACGUUGAUAGGCUGGGUGUGUAAGCGUAGCGAUACGUUGAGCUAACCAGUACUAAUGAACCGUGAGGCUUAACCUGACAACACCGAAAGUGUUUUG
RNAcentral lists this ribosomal RNA (2932 nucleotides) under Proteus mirabilis. RNAcentral's name for it is "bacterial LSU rRNA". It matches the Rfam family "Bacterial large subunit ribosomal RNA". The record is from RNAcentral. Lineage: Bacteria; Pseudomonadati; Pseudomonadota; Gammaproteobacteria; Enterobacterales; Morganellaceae.